Molecule: non-coding RNA, 31 nt
Filed under: Rattus norvegicus (Norway rat)
Lineage: Eukaryota; Metazoa; Chordata; Mammalia; Rodentia; Muridae
Source: RNAcentral
UAGUGGCUUAGUCCCUGGAAGCUCUGGUUGC